RNAcentral lists this long non-coding RNA (4379 nucleotides) under Homo sapiens (human). Its description in RNAcentral is "HSALNT0357867". The record is from RNAcentral. Lineage: Eukaryota; Metazoa; Chordata; Mammalia; Primates; Hominidae.
CCAUCUUCCGCCCGGCCAUCGGGCCGCGGGCGCUCGGAACCGACCUGGGAGCUGGCGGGACCGUCCUCCCCCGCCACGCCCUCCCAUCGGGCUUUGGGCGCCGGACUCUGGCCACCGCUCGGCACCUGCCUCCGCCUCGCCUUGGGGUAUAGGAGUCCUGUACCGACCCCUGGCUUGCCCAGAGGACAGGUUCUCGCCCGGGCCAGAAGCAAACUGCGGCGAAAUCGAGACAACAGAACUCAGGUGGCGGAGGGUCCCCGCUUUUCCCCAGAGGCGGAAGUUGGCGAGGGAGUCCUCUUCCGUUAUCCAGCGAGAGCGCUGCUCUGGCUGCCUCCCGGUUCUAACCUAGUCCCUGCAGAGGAGUGAUGUACCGGCAGGGACAUUGGACAGAGGCCGUGCUCUUCCCUGCAGCGCAUACCCCGCGGCCCCUGCUGGUGGGCCGCUUCGAUGGUGCUGAGGUUCAUAGUGAAUAUUUAUUGAGCGCCUGCCUCGAGUCCCUUGGGUUUCCUGUUGUCUCGGGACCUGCCGCGUCACUAUCACCCUAGAAUUUGUUAGAAAUGCACGUUUUCGGCCCCACCUAGACCUACAGAACCAGAAACUGCGGGUGGAGUCCUGCAAUAUGAUUAACAAAGCCCUCCGGGUAGUUGUCAUGGACGCCUCUAUAUUUCAGCUAAGCAGUCCAUUUUAAUAAGCUAGGCAGUGAAAAUUUCCAUAGUUUUCCCCAAAGCACAGUGAGGAGUCAGGGAUUCAAAAUGAGGCAAUCUGCCCCAAUGCAGGCGUUUUAUUGCACCCUCCACUCCUGGCUCCUCUGGUUUUUUCGCCCGUAAGACACAGUACUGCUCUUCUCAGGAAGAUUAGGAAAGUACAUUUGUCACAUACGCUUUUCAAGCACGGCUUUAAAAUAACAACUGAAAUUCAGUUCAACUGCAUGUUUUGAGUAUCUACUGGGAGCAAGGCUCUGUGAAGUAUAGUAGCCCUACUGGUUAUGUUUAUCAGUUUGCACCUAAAAGGUGAAAGGAAGGCUUGCUUUCUUGUGAUGUAAAUUUUUUCAAACUAAGGGAGUGCCAGAAAACUGCUGGCUGCUUUCUCUCCCGUGUUGGUUUCUCUCCAGUGCUAUCCAGAAUAUGCUGUAAGCUCUGGACUUCCUGAAACAAAGGUCCAAGUAAGCAUCUGGUCUUUGAUGUACUUUAAAAUGCACCCCACCCCCACAUGAAAGAUAACUAAAUUUUUCAAAAUAUUAAUACUUCUUGAAUGUAAAUCGUGUGUCUAAGGUACUGGCAUAAUUUUUUUUUUCAAAUUUUCUAUAUGUUUGAAAUGUUUCAUAAUAAAAUCCUUUUAAAUUUUUUUCCAUGUGUAAUUUUAGGAUGAUAUAUAUAUAGCACAUGGAAAAAAGCAGGGCAUAGAAGUAUUUCCACUUUAAUUUCAGUUUCAUAAAAUCAGAGAGAAAAAGUCAUAGAUAUAUACACCAUACAUAAAAAAUAAAAGCGUAAAUAAAUACAGAAAGAAAUCUAAAGAGAAAUCACCAUAGCAGUAAAAGUAAAUUCUGUGUGAAGUGGUUAUAAGAGACACUAAGAGUUGCCCCUCCUUGAAAUUAUAUUUAGUUAUGGUCCUUAAGUCACUAUUAUUUGUAACCAAAAAAAAAAAUUGAAUAAAAAUAGUUCUCCCUCUUUAGUCCAUCCAAUCCUAAAGAAUUUUUAUCAGUGCCCUUUCUUUUUCUUCAGAGUCACUCUGUCACCCAGGCUGGAGUGCAGUGGCACCAUCACAGCUCCCUGCAGCCUUGACUUACAGGGCUCCAGUGAUCCUCCACCCUCAGCCUCCUGAGUAUCUGAGACCACAGGUGCAAGCCACCAUGCCCAGCAUACAUCUUACUAAGGCAUCUAAAGUACUUACUACUUCGUACUCAUGGGAUCCAAUGAUGCUCACAUAAUGUCAUCAAUAGAGUGGACCAGUGUGAUGUUUUGUGGAAUGUCAGAACAAUCAAGAUCACUUCAGACUAUUAUGGCAGUGAGCAAGAGAACUAAUGGAGCCCGUGGCAACACUGGGAAGACAUAUUGUUGGCCCUGUUGGGUAACAGCAAAUCACUUCUGAUGGACCUUGCAAAUUGGUAUGGAGGAAAAGGCAUUAGCCAGUUGUAGCAAGGAAACCAAAAGGUAUAAACAUUCACUGAUUGAAAAACAAUGUCAUAAAGUCAUCCCAGUAUCUGUGAGGAGUUGGUUCCAGGACCCCUGAGGACACCAAAAUCCUCAGAUGCUCAAGUCCCUGAUAAAAAAAUAAAAGGGGCAAGUUAUGAAUAAAGUUGAGCCAUAAAUCAAAAGGAUGUUAACUGAAAAAGAAGUCUCAAAGCAGAUGGUGAGAAAGUGAAGACAGAGAGCCUCUGCCCCAGUUCAGGAGGAAUAUUCCGGACCAAACACACAAAGGAAGCAGUCUGGCAGCUGCCACUACCAACCUGAUAACAUUGCUCCCUGGAGGAGACGUUGAGGACCAUUUCCCCAGAAAUAAAACUGCAAACUCCACCUCCUGGGUUCAAGCAAUUCUUCUGCCUCCAGAGUAGCUGGGAUUGCGGCAUGCACCACCACGCCCAGCUAAUUUUUGUAUUUUUAGUAGAGACAGGAUUUUGCCAUAUUGGCCAGGCUGGUCUCAAACUCCUGGCCUCAAGUGAUCUGCCCGCUUCGGCCUCCGUAAGUGCCGGGAUUACAGUUGUGAGCCAUCAUGCCCAGCCAUUCUAUCCCCUUCUUUAUAUCUGGUUCUACUAUUCAACUAAUAUAGCCUAAAUACCUCCUUAUUGGGGAUAGAGGAAAACCUGAUAUAGAAGCAGUUCUUCCUGUUGGCCUGGUGGAUUGUGGGAAAAAUAACAGAAGGCAAAUUGUAGCAAAAGCAAGUGGGCAGACACUUGUGUCCUGGCUUGCCUCCUCCGGGCCACAGUCUGGAAGAGGAAAGAAGAGGAUAUGGUACAUAAACUGGGGGAGAGCCAGAUGCAAAAGCAGAGGGGGCUUGUGCCCCAGUCCUAGCUCAGAACUCUGAGAAGAGACUGUGGUGUAGAAUGGCUUACACCAACCUGGUGCUACCACAGAACAAGGAAGGCGGCAGAGAGGCAUGGUUCCACAGAAAGAGGGCCUGUGUUCCCACUCCUAAACUUGCCUUUCCUCUUAAAAGGCAUAGAAGGGCUCCAGAAGUUCCCAGACUCCCCCUGUAGAACCAGACAAGGUAGGUAACAGAAUUGGCAGCUUCAGGACCUGCUAUAAUGGAGCCUCUGUAGUUAGGGGUGAGAUAACACUAACGUCAAGGCCAGGGGCUAGAGAGAGGACCUGGCUGAACUCGGUGGCAUCUGCAGUCCUGGCAAAUGUAAGGUAGGGUGGGUCUAACUGAGCCUAGGAACAACACUGCACUUGGGGAAGACCACUGUAAGGCUGUGGGAACCUGACUGGAUCAGCCACUUCAGAGCAGAGGCAGGAGAUAGGAUAGGCCCUGCACUCAUAUCAAGGCUCAUCUCCCCCUACAGUGGGAUCCACAUGCCCAAACACCAUCUGGUAGAGAAGUAGGGAAUGAACAAAGGGGAUAUUGGAAAGAUAGCUAAUCUACCCUGUGUGGAAAAGAAUGAACUUUGCACAAAGAGAAGUUAGGCCUUUGCUUCUGAGAGUAUUUUAAGCCUUUGUAAUGUCCUGCCUGAUAAGAUGGGGUUACCUGGCAGCCUAAGACCAUGCCAGAUAGUCUAUGCUAAUAAUGUGAUUAUGGUGGGGCUUUAGGCCUUGCAAUAUCAACCCAACCUCUGGAAGGCUGGAAGCUAAGGUGGUCAAUGGGUGGUCAACCAUAUCUACUGGUAGUCAACCAUAUCUAUGUAACCAAGCCCCAGUUAAAAACUCUGGACACCAAGGCCCAAGUGAGUUUCCCUGGCUGGCAAUACUCUGUGCGUAUUGCCCAACAUCAUUGCUGGGAGGAAUUAGCACUGUCUAGAGUUCCACUGUGAUAGGACAACUAGAAGCUUGCACUUGCAACUCUCCUGGACCCUGCCCCAUCAUGCCUCUUCCCUUUGCUGAUUUUCAUUUCUUACUUUUCACUGUAAUAAACCAUAACUGCGAGUAUAACAGUUUUCAGUGAGUUCUAUCAAUUAUUGAACCUGAGGGUUGUCCUGGGGGACUCCUGAUUUCCACAAACCCCAAAGAGACUGGGCCAACUGGAGUGAGUAAAGAAAGAUUGCAUCCAUUAGAGCAAAUCAAGAAGCCUCAUUGUCUUAUAGAAUUUCAGUGGUGCUUUGUAAAUAUGUGACCCUACUACUCAAGCAAGUAAAGACUUCUUACCACUCCAAAUAAGGCAUGGAUGAAGGAAUCACAGCUAGCUAGUCUUUUUUUUUUUCAAACUAAAGAAGGGGACAUGUGUACUGC